This 497-nucleotide ribosomal RNA is filed under the name uncultured bacterium. Its description in RNAcentral is "partial 16S ribosomal RNA". It matches the Rfam family "Bacterial small subunit ribosomal RNA", at positions 28 to 507 of the family's 1533-position model. The record is from RNAcentral.
GAUGAACGCUGGCGGCGUGCCUAAUACAUGCAAGUCGAGCGAACAGACGAGGAGCUUGCUCCUCUGACGUUAGCGGCGGACGGGUGAGUAACACGUGGAUAACCUACCUAUAAGACUGGGAUAACUUCGGGAAACCGGAGCUAAUACCGGAUAAUAUAUUGAACCGCAUGGUUCAAUAGUGAAAGACGGUUUUGCUGUCACUUAUAGAUGGAUCCGCGCCGCAUUAGCUAGUUGGUAAGGUAACGGCUUACCAAGGCAACGAUGCGUAGCCGACCUGAGAGGGUGAUCGGCCACACUGGAACUGAGACACGGUCCAGACUCCUACGGGAGGCAGCGGUAGGGAAUCUUCCGCAAUGGGCGAAAGCUUGACGGAGCAACGCCGCGUGAGUGAUGAAGGUCUUCGGAUCGUAAAACUCUGUUAUUAGGGAAGAACAAAUGUGUAAGUAACUAUGCACGUCUUGACGGUACCUAAUCAGAAAGCCACGGCUAACUACGUG